UAAAUAAUAAAGGAGCGGUCCAACGAUUUACAGAAAAGAGCGACGAUUUACAGAAAAGAACCGAAAAGAACCGAAAAGGACCAAAAAGAACCGAAAAGGACCGAAAAGAACCGAAAAGAGCAUACAUAUAAAUUAUUAUUUAAUAUAUAUACACCAAUUUUCCCCCCUCGUAAUAAAGGAAUGUAUAGUUCAAAUUUAUUUUGAACAUUUAUAGGGAUAUGUAGACUUACAAAAAAAGUUAGAUUUCCCUGUAUCAGAUUAAGGCAUUUAAAUAUUUAAAAAAAAAAAAAAAUCAAAGUGUCAUUUCCUUGCUUUAGAAAAUAGAAUUGUAAAAAACAUUUGAAGAAAAUUUCAAUUCCUGCUACAUGUAAACCAUGGCAAACUUUAAGAUGUUCCUGGUUCGUUUCAAUUUCUUAAUUCAAUUUACGGUAUAAAACGUUGGGCUACAUGUGAAUAAAAGGAGAUAAAUCAAUAAAAAAAAUACAUCAUUAUCUACAUAUUAUAAAUGUUGUGCACAUCACAGUCAUUUCAUUUCGUCUUUCAGGAAAUAUAGAUAAAUGAAUAGCGCACCCGCUUUCGAUAUAAUUGAUAACUGUUUACUCUUUUAUAGGUAUAGAUUAAAGGGUGUGAAAAAGUUAAUGGCCUGUUGAUUU
RNAcentral lists this long non-coding RNA (653 nucleotides) under Mytilus galloprovincialis (Mediterranean mussel). Lineage: Eukaryota; Metazoa; Mollusca; Bivalvia; Mytilida; Mytilidae. The record is from RNAcentral.